AUGUUGUCACACCGCGAUCGCUCCUUCCACACUCUUCUAACAACCGCUAGCCCACCACACUACCCUCUAUUCACACGAAAGCACACGGACCCUUUACACCCUCUGUUCUCCUGCUAUCGUCCAGAACAUACCAACCGGAACGCUCACCACCAUCACACGCGGGCAACAACCUCCAGACCAUCUUCAACGCUACAUAAUUUCCGUCCCUCCACCAACACAGACUUCUGUUCUUAA
Molecule: non-coding RNA, 234 nt
Organism: Vicia faba (fava bean)
Lineage: Eukaryota; Viridiplantae; Streptophyta; Magnoliopsida; Fabales; Fabaceae
Source: the annotation of a GenBank genome assembly